Molecule: non-coding RNA, 871 nt
Organism: Coffea arabica (coffee)
Lineage: Eukaryota; Viridiplantae; Streptophyta; Magnoliopsida; Gentianales; Rubiaceae
Source: RefSeq, a predicted model, not a curated record
UCGCCCCUUCCCCCAUUUCAAAAAAAAGGACAUGUUCAAGUCAUUUUUUGAGGUUGCAAAGGGAAGUAGUAUUGUUCUUGCAAUGAAGCUGCAAAGACUUGGUAGAUUAUCCUUUACUGAAGUUUAAGUCUAACUGUGAUGAUUUGAACUUUGAAGCAUCAAAUCGUAAUAAUUGGUUGCUGCUCUAGGAAUUCGCUUCAUGAAGAUUCUUUAGCUUUCUCUACCUGUCAUACUUGUUGGCUGCCACAUCUCUUUUUCUAAAUUACUCAACUGCUCAUCUUUCAGAGUUUCGGACACAAACUAGGAUAGUUCUUGUGACACUGCUUAUAUCUGUAGACUGAGCAGAAAGAUUUCACAUCUGUGUACCAGUUUAUGUUAGAAAACAAUGCCAAAGCUUGAGAUCUACAUUGUGAAUGUGGUGAUUCAAACUGUAAAUCAGCUGUAGCUUCUGUCCUCAUAACAGGAGCCAAUAAGACUAUGGUCAAUCGAGGAGUAUUCAUAGCUGUUAGUCAUCACUUUCCUGUUUUGGUUCAAAAAUUCUGAUAUCUUCUCGUCCUGAAGAUAUUUUUGAGUUAGCCAAGGAAGAUGUAUUGUUCAAGCAAUGAAGUUGCACAAAACUUGGAGUAUCUUCCAACAUUCAAGCCUAAGCACAAUGUUUUGGAGCAUUCCGGUUGUUAAUGAAGCCUACUUGUUGCUACUUGCUGCUUUUAGUGAAUCCACCUUGAUAAAGUCUCUCAAGCUCUCUCUGUUUUUAUGAUUGUUGGUUGCUAGGAUUUUUAUGUGAUUUUAGGCCCAAAGCUCAACAGGGAACCUCAUCAAUGCUUUUAAACGUCCAAAUGAUUAAGCUAUUUGUAGUCAUGAUAAUGAGGUG